RNAcentral lists this microRNA precursor (134 nucleotides) under Chlorocebus sabaeus (green monkey). RNAcentral describes it as "miRNA (ENSCSAG00000021546.1)". The record is from RNAcentral. Lineage: Eukaryota; Metazoa; Chordata; Mammalia; Primates; Cercopithecidae.
CAGGACUCCCAGCUAAAUUCAAAUUUCAACUAGACAAUGAAUAAUGUUUUAGUACAAAUAUACCACAUACAAUGUUUGGGACAUACUUAUACUAAAAAUUAAAUUCUUGUUUAUUUGAAAUUGAAAUUCAAAUA